UUGUGACCUUCUAGAUGCGUCUGGCAGGAGCCAGCAGCGGGCUCAGCUGCCUACGGUGGACCUUGCCCAUACCACUUGGGUUGGGCAUUGGUGCAAAAAAACAGUGUAGCCUUGAGACAAUACGAUGACGUCACGACCAAUGAGCAAGGCCCGCAGAGGGGACAAAGAUUCACUUCUCUCUUGGACUCUGGCGAGUGUGGACGUGACGCACGUUAAUUCUGUUCCUAGCAACUGUGUUGGCCAUUAGUGGAUAAGUGUAGCCUCGGUGGGAUUCAGUUUGACUCUCACAAGGUAUGGAUGUGUGGCUCGUCACUGGUGAAUGCUGUACGUGAAAAUAAUCCGAUGCUGAGCUGUCCUAACCUGCCCAGACAUGCCAGGAUGACGGCAUGGACUUCAAGAUGGCGUCAUUGAUCUUGAAAUAAACAACUUCUCUC
Molecule: long non-coding RNA, 434 nt
Organism: Ornithodoros turicata
Lineage: Eukaryota; Metazoa; Arthropoda; Arachnida; Ixodida; Argasidae
Exons: 3
Source: RefSeq, a predicted model, not a curated record